Potamilus streckersoni is the source of this 68-nucleotide non-coding RNA. NCBI's taxonomy places the organism in Eukaryota, Metazoa, Mollusca, Bivalvia, Unionida, Unionidae. The record is from the annotation of a GenBank genome assembly.
GGUAGCCUAGUAGUUAGAGCUUCCGCCUCAGAUGUGGAAGGUCGCGGAUUCGAACCCCGGCUGAAUCA